GACGAACGCUGGCGGCGUGCUUAACACAUGCAAGUCGAACGGAAAGGCCCUGCUCUUGUGGGGUUCUCGAGUGGCGAACGGGUGAGUAACACGUGAGUAACCUGCCCUUGACUUUGGGAUAACUUCAGGAAACUGGGGCUAAUACCGGAUAGGAGCUCCUGCUGCAUGGUGGGGGUUGGAGAGUUGCGGCGGUUGGGGCUGGACUCGCGGCUUAUCCGCUUGUUGGGGGGGUAGUGGAGUACCAAGGAUUUGACGGGUAGCCGGCCUGGGAGGGUGACCGGCCACAUUGGGCCUGAGAUACGGCCAAGAGUCAUACGGGAGGAAGGAGUGGGGAAUAUAGGGCAAUGGGCGGAAGCCUGAUGGAGCAACGCCGCGUGCGGGAUGACUGCCUUCGGGUUGUAACCCGUUUUCGCCUGUGACGAAGCGUGAGUGACGGUAAUGGGUAAAGAAGCACCGGCUACCUACGU
This 467-nucleotide ribosomal RNA is filed under the name uncultured bacterium. RNAcentral's name for it is "partial 16S ribosomal RNA". It matches the Rfam family "Bacterial small subunit ribosomal RNA", at positions 28 to 506 of the family's 1533-position model. The record is from RNAcentral.